RNAcentral lists this transfer RNA (73 nucleotides) under Fusarium vanettenii 77-13-4. RNAcentral's name for it is "tRNA-Tyr (GTA) (tRNA-Tyr-GTA-4-1)". It matches the Rfam family "tRNA". From Rfam's summary of the family: Transfer RNA (tRNA) molecules are approximately 80 nucleotides in length. Their secondary structure includes four short double-helical elements and three loops (D, anti-codon, and T loops). The record is from RNAcentral. Lineage: Eukaryota; Fungi; Ascomycota; Sordariomycetes; Hypocreales; Nectriaceae.
GCCCAAUUGGCGCAAUGGUUAGCGCAUUCGACUGUAUAUCGAAAGGUUGCGAGUUCGAGUCUCGCAUUGGGUU